AACAGCAUGAAAGGAGGUGAUCCGGUGUCUCAUCGCAUCAACCAGGUCCUCGCGGCCGCCACUCGGAUCACCGUCGGCGCCUAAGCCCCGGCGGGUCACCGUUUGACGCGGGCCGCGAACCGGCCACGCGAUGGGAAGGCCCCGGCGGGCAACUGCCGGGGCCU
RNAcentral lists this small RNA (164 nucleotides) under Muricoccus roseus. Its description in RNAcentral is "Roseomonas rosea caulobacter sRNA CC2171". The record is from RNAcentral. Lineage: Bacteria; Pseudomonadati; Pseudomonadota; Alphaproteobacteria; Acetobacterales; Roseomonadaceae.